AAACCGACACAGGUGGGUGAGGAGAGUAUCCUAAGGCCCGCGAGAGAACUGUUGUUAAGGAACUCGGCAAAAUGACCCCGUAACUUAGGGAUAAGGGGUGCCACCAUCCGGUGGCCGCAGAGAAUAGGCCCAAGCGACUGUUUACCAAACACAUAGGUUUCUGCUAAGUCGCAAGACGAUGUAUAGGAGCUGACGCCUGCCCGGUGCUGGAAGGUUAAGGGGAUCUGUUAGAGCAAUCGAAGCAGUGAACUUAAGCCCCAGUAAACGGCGGCCGUAACUAUAACGGUCCUAAGGUAGCGAAAUUCCUUGUCGGGUAAGUUCCGACCCGCACGAAAGGCGUAACGAUUUGGGCACUGUCUCA
RNAcentral lists this ribosomal RNA (361 nucleotides) under Clostridioides difficile. RNAcentral's name for it is "partial 23S ribosomal RNA". It matches the Rfam family "Bacterial large subunit ribosomal RNA", at positions 1651 to 2023 of the family's 2925-position model. Lineage: Bacteria; Bacillati; Bacillota; Clostridia; Peptostreptococcales; Peptostreptococcaceae. The record is from RNAcentral.